CAUCGGUAUUAGCUGUCAAAACUUCAAAAAAUAAUCUGUCAUUUUGUUUCUGUUUUCACGGUUCUCCGUUUUAAAAAUAAAUCUGUUUUAAUCCCGUGUGUGUGAAGUGAUAAUUUUGUAAAAAAUGGCCCUGUUCCCUGGAGCGGUGGCCUUCGACGAGUAUGGCCGUCCAUUUAUAAUCCUAAAAGAUCAGGAUAGACAAAAAAGGCUUACCGGCAUAGAUGCUUUGAAGUCACACAUAUCAGCAGCUCGUCAAAUUGCCAGCACCCUGCGUACAUCGCUCGGUCCUCGUGGCCUGGAUAAGUUGAUGGUGUCAUCUGAUGGUGAGGUGACAGUCACUAAUGAUGGUGCCACCAUCCUUGACUUAAUGGAUGUAGAGCAUCAGAUUGGAAAACUACUUGUUCAGUUGGCUAAGAGUCAGGACAAUGAGAUUGGUGAUGGAACUACUGGAGUUGUUGUGCUUGCUGGUGCAUUGCUGGAACAUGCGUCAAACCUAUUGGACAAAGGUAUCCACCCAAUCCGAAUUGCGGACGGGUUCGAAAUGGCCGCGGCCACAGCUCUCGCCCACCUCGACAGCAUUAGUGAGGCAUUCCCUGUAAACAAAAGCAGCCGGGAGAAUCUGAUCAAGGUUGCCAUGACAACACUCGGCAGCAAAGUUGUUGUCAAGUGUCACCGAUUGAUGGCAGAAAUGGCUGUUGAUGCGGUAUUAGCUGUGGCCGAUUUGGAAGCCCGCGAUGUCAACUUUGAACUGAUCAAGGUUGAGGGCAAAGUUGGUGGUCGCAUGGAGGACUCGAAGCUCGUGCGCGGUGUCGUCAUUGAUAAGACCAUGAGCCAUCCCCAGAUGCCUAAAGUGCUGAAGGAUGUAAAACUAGCUAUCCUGGCCUGUCCAUUCGAGCCGCCGAAGCCAAAGACUAAGAACAAGCUACUUGUAGGCUCAGUGGAGGAUUACCAUGAACUCAGAAAGUAUGAACAGGACAAGUUCUUGGAGAUUGUUCGUAUGGUGAAGAACGCAGGAGCAACACUCGCUAUUUGCCAAUGGGGCUUCGAUGACGAGGCGAACCACCUCCUGCUGGCCGAGGGUCUACCGGCCGUUCGGUGGGUGGGCGGCCCCGAGAUGGAGCUCAUAGCUAUUGCCACGGGAGGCAGGAUCGUGCCCAGGUUCGAGGAGCUCACGCCAGACAAGCUUGGCACGUGCGGUCUUGUCAGGGAACUCACAUUCGGCACAUCGAAGGAAGAGAUGUUAGUAAUCGAGGAGUGCUCCAACUCUCGCGCCGUGACCUUGCUCAUGCGUGGAGGCAACCGCAUGAUCGUGGCGGAAGCCAAACGUUCCGUGCACGACGCGCUGUGUAUCGUGCGCAGUCUCGUACAGGACUCGCGCGUGGUGUACGGUGGCGGCGCGGCGGAGGUGUCUUGCUCGCUGGCGGUAGCGCGCGCGGCCGACAAGCUGUCGUCGCUGGACCAAUACGCCUACAGGGCCUUCGCCGACGCGCUCGAAGCCAUACCGCUCGCGCUCGCUGAGAAUAGUGGUCUAUCACCAAUCGACUCAUUAUCAGAGAUUAAGGCGCGGCAAGUGGCCGAGAACAAUCCUAACUUGGGUAUUGACUGCAUGGGCAACGACUCAAAUGACAUGAAAGUGCUGAAUGUGAUCGAGUCGCUGCACUCUAAGAAGCAACAGAUCGCGCUCGCCACGCAGCUCGUUAAGAUGAUCCUCAAGAUCGACGACGUGCGCUCGCCCGCCGACUCCAUCGAAUAACAUUACUUACUUCUCUACUCACAUUACUUAACGUUGAGAUGACAAUGUGCCGCGCUUUCAACAGUAUAGGCUUUAGUCCAGAAACCCAGUGAUGCGCGGUGAUUAAAGGCGUUUAUAUAAAAUGCAUUUUGGUGAGGCCGAGUCGCGUCACGUGCGUGAACGAGUGUACUAAAUGUGAUGAAUGCCUUAUUGCACUAAUAAAUUAAUAUGCUAAUUUAA
RNAcentral lists this unclassified non-coding RNA (1972 nucleotides) under Manduca sexta (tobacco hornworm). RNAcentral's name for it is "t-complex protein 1 subunit epsilon, transcript variant X1". The record is from RNAcentral. Lineage: Eukaryota; Metazoa; Arthropoda; Insecta; Lepidoptera; Sphingidae.